Molecule: ribosomal RNA, 275 nt
Filed under: Hygrobates trigonicus
Lineage: Eukaryota; Metazoa; Arthropoda; Arachnida; Trombidiformes; Hygrobatidae
Description: partial 28S ribosomal RNA
Source: RNAcentral
AGUUGGUGUUGUGAUUCAAAUUGUGUUUGGAGCUAUAGUUGAUGUAGUGCCUGUUAUGCAGGCAGUUGUUGGCUAUUUGCUUUAUACUCAAUGCACUUCACUUAACCACGAUGGAGCUCUGACUCUUUAUGUCAACUUGAUUGUUUAGGGCAACUCUUCAUUGUGGUGGAUUCCUUCACGGGAGUCUUUCACUUUAGAGGGAGAUAAUCAAGUUACGGUGAAGAGUUGAAUUACUUACAUUUGUAAGUGUUCAGAUCGUCAGUUGAUAUAGUGUA